CACGUAGGGGGCAAGCGUUGUCCGGAUUCAUUGGGCGUAAAGAGCUCGUAGGCGGCUCAGUAAGUCGGGUGUGAAACCCUCAGGCUCAACCUGGGGACGCCACUCGAUACUGCUGUGGCUAGAGUCCAGUAGGGGAGUGUGGAAUUCCCGGUGUAGCGGUGAAAUGCGCAGAUAUCGGGAGGAACACCAGCGGCGAAGGCGGCACUCUGGGCUGGUACUGACGCUGAGGAGCGAAAGCAUGGGGAGCGAACAGG
RNAcentral lists this ribosomal RNA (254 nucleotides) under uncultured bacterium. Its description in RNAcentral is "partial 16S ribosomal RNA". It matches the Rfam family "Bacterial small subunit ribosomal RNA", at positions 524 to 776 of the family's 1533-position model. The record is from RNAcentral.